This 253-nucleotide ribosomal RNA is filed under the name uncultured bacterium. RNAcentral's name for it is "partial 16S ribosomal RNA". It matches the Rfam family "Bacterial small subunit ribosomal RNA", at positions 524 to 776 of the family's 1533-position model. The record is from RNAcentral.
UACAGAGGGUGCGAGCGUUACUCGGAAUUACUGGGCGUAAAGCGCGCGUAGGCGGCUUUGCAAGUCGGGUGUGAAAUCCCCAGGCUUAACCUGGGAACUGCAUUCGAGACUGCAUUGCUAGAGUAUGGGAGAGGGAAGUGGAAUUUCCGGUGUAGCGGUGAAAUGCGUAGAUAUCGGGAGGAACACCUGUGGCGAAGGCGGCCCCCUGGUUGGAUACUGACGCUGAUACGCGAAAGCGUGGGGAGCAAACAGG